Non-coding RNA from Rhineura floridana, 72 nucleotides. The record is from the annotation of a RefSeq genome assembly. Lineage: Eukaryota; Metazoa; Chordata; Lepidosauria; Squamata; Rhineuridae.
AGGGCCAUAGCUCAGUGGUAGAGUGUCCACCUUGGACGUGGAAGGUCCCAGGUUCAAUCCCUGGUGUCUCUA